UGGGGCCAUUGACUUCAGCAGUACCACAGCGAUUUCUGUACGUGAAAGGUUUGGCCCUCUGCUUGCUUUCCUUUCUUCAGUCCUGCCUGCUUUUGGGGUCCCGGGGAGCUCUCCAGCUGAAUUGUGGGGGUCGAUACAGAGUUUUUCCUGGUAAAUGAGAAAAACACUGUCCUUCCAUGCCGCUUCAUCUGCCUGGGAUUUCCGACUGACUAAUUCCAUCUGGCAGGCUGACCAUGCUUCAAAGACUGCAGAUCCUGAGACUUUUAACUUACAAACAAAACCAUGCAUUAAAAAAAAAAGAAGAGACCAAAAAAAAAAAAAAAAAGACAGCUUUCCCCAGGGAUAGUCUCUGUGAAAUCCAAAACAAGGUCUCAGUGCCUGCCCUGGUGCUGCGGCUGACGCCAGUGUUUUUUCUGUCCCUUUUAAAACUGAGCUGGAGUGUUCCCGACUCCUCUGUUCAACACCUCCGGCUCCCUUAUUCCCCUUGAUUAAGCUCCAGGAGAGGGGGAGUCUGGAAGGAGGCCUCAGAUAUGUGUGCAGCUCUUAAAUGCUGUGAAAGGAACCCUGAUGAAAGGUUAAGGCAGUGGCAUGGAUGACACCCAACAAGAGGGAACACUCACAUGCUCUGAACAGCAGCAGUACAGAGUGAGGAUAACCCCAGCGUGGGCAGGGGGCUGACUCAUCUCUCCAGAAGAGGCAACACUGUUUAUUAAUCACUGCUCCUUUGAAGUGGAAAAAUGGAGAAAACCUCUCAUGGCCAACGUUGUGAUUAACCAUCUAAUUGUUCUGCUGUGCUCAGGAGUUAAGACAAGGCACAGUGCAGACUGAAGAGAGAUUUCUGUAGGAGAUCAGAUGGGAAAUCACUCUCCUGGCUGGAUUCCUUCAGAAUUGGUGAGUUCUAGAAGUAGCGACCAUGCCAUCAGCUUACAUGGAGGUAAUGCAUCCUGGUCCCUUGGUAAUGGUCUGCUCAUUCACAUAAUAAAAGGACUCUCUGCUGGUCUGUAUUGCACAGCUCUGUUGUAUUUCAACCAUUUAUUCACUGCACCUACAUCACAUUGUGAAGUACCCAAGGCUAGGACUUUCAAAUCUGCUCCAAAGACUGAGGAAAUGGACUUCU
Non-coding RNA from Phalacrocorax carbo (great cormorant), 1117 nucleotides. NCBI's taxonomy places the organism in Eukaryota, Metazoa, Chordata, Aves, Suliformes, Phalacrocoracidae. The record is from RefSeq and is a predicted model, not a curated record.